CGGAUAGAGGCCCGCUGGAUUGGGUGUUUAGCUGUUAACUAAAAUUUUACGGGAUCGAGGCCCGUCUAUCUAG
RNAcentral lists this transfer RNA (73 nucleotides) under Plestiodon elegans. Its description in RNAcentral is "tRNA-Asn". Lineage: Eukaryota; Metazoa; Chordata; Lepidosauria; Squamata; Scincidae. RNAcentral also lists the same sequence under 7 other names. The record is from RNAcentral.